Molecule: ribosomal RNA, 253 nt
Filed under: uncultured bacterium
Lineage: Bacteria
Description: partial 16S ribosomal RNA
Rfam family: Bacterial small subunit ribosomal RNA
Source: RNAcentral
UACGGAGGGUGCAAGCGUUAUCCGGAUUCACUGGGUUUAAAGGGUGCGUAGGUGGGUUGGUAAGUCAGUGGUGAAAUCCCCGAGCUUAACUUGGGAACUGCCAUUGAUACUAUCAGUCUUGAAUACCGUGGAGGUCAGCGGAAUAUGUCAUGUAGCGGUGAAAUGCUUAGAUAUGACAUAGAACACCAAUUGCGAAGGCAGCUGGCUACACGAAUAUUGACACUGAGGCACGAAAGCGUGGAGAUCAAACAGG